This is a non-coding RNA of Phrynosoma platyrhinos (Desert horned lizard), 72 nucleotides long. The record is from the annotation of a GenBank genome assembly. Lineage: Eukaryota; Metazoa; Chordata; Lepidosauria; Squamata; Phrynosomatidae.
GCCAGGGUGGUGCAGUGGUUUCAAUGUUGGACUAUGACUCUGGAGACCAGGGUUCAAUUCCCAGCUCGGCCA